UGCCCUCUCGUCUAAUGGUAGGACGCUUGGCUCUGGACCAAGUAGUCGUGGUUCGAAUCCACGGGGGGCAGCCA
This 74-nucleotide transfer RNA is filed under the name Candidatus Omnitrophota bacterium. RNAcentral's name for it is "tRNA-Gln". It matches the Rfam family "tRNA". From Rfam's summary of the family: Transfer RNA (tRNA) molecules are approximately 80 nucleotides in length. The record is from RNAcentral. Lineage: Bacteria; Pseudomonadati; Candidatus Omnitrophota.